Molecule: non-coding RNA, 24 nt
Filed under: Arabidopsis thaliana (thale cress)
Lineage: Eukaryota; Viridiplantae; Streptophyta; Magnoliopsida; Brassicales; Brassicaceae
Source: RNAcentral
UAACACCAUGAUCUCGGUGUAUGG